UAUUUACUUCAAACAUGGAUAAUGCUAUAGAUUUAUUUUUAUUUAUUUAGAUAUCCUUUGAAUUGUUUACACUCAAAGGAUAUAUAUUUUUCUUAAGAAAAAUAAUUUUGUAGAAUUUCGCCAUGAUAUCUCGUGUGCCUAUUGAGGGAAACACAUGUAACCUUGAGUGUCUCAAGGAUAAUCCAGUAAAGACCUUUGACGGCCCCGUGAGAAUAGUGCUUGUGAAUAUCCCGAAAAGAGAAUACUGUGCGCGCAUCUGGUGGGCUGGGUUAAUUGUAUUGGCAUACAUUUUAAUUGGUUUUUAUACUACUGCCAUGGUAUUGUAUGCAUCUUCAUGGAAACAAAUGCACUUUGAAACUAAUUUACAUAUCGUAUUUUGCACUUUGGGGUUUCAACUGCUGAUGCCAGCAGGGAUGUUCAUGACGACGACGUUGCAUGGCCCAUCGGUUCCAAUGAAGCCGUGCUUUAGAAAGUUCAAUCAUAUAUUACUUGAGGCUACAGCCGCCACAUUGAACAUAGUUGGUGUUUUACUCCUAUUUUAUUCCUUGUCGCACCGAUGGCCGGACAUAAUAAACGAUACGUCGCAUUGUUUAUUUGGUUUCAUGGCGCUCGUGUUUAUGAUAAUAACAAUUUUAUUGGGUCCGUGUGCGUUUAAUGUGGACUGCUCAACUUGCUGUCGGAAUCUCCACGCUUUUUUUGGAAUAUUAGCAUUCGGUUUCUCAUCAGCAGCCUUCAUAUUAUCUCUUUACUUACCAGAUACAUCAUUUUCAAAAUGGAUGGCACAAGAAGAUCUUAAAACGUUUAUGGCCUUGUUUUGUGGAAUUGCUUCCCUUAUUGUAAUCGCUUACUCGACUUUGAAAUUAUUAUGCCGUUAUGAGCGCUUUUGUGAUAAUAGGUGUUGACAAUAAUAAAAGGCAAUUAAAGUUUGCUCUUUAGUUUUGAA
Molecule: long non-coding RNA, 943 nt
Organism: Plodia interpunctella (Indianmeal moth)
Lineage: Eukaryota; Metazoa; Arthropoda; Insecta; Lepidoptera; Pyralidae
Exons: 3
Source: RefSeq, a predicted model, not a curated record